GCCAAACUCUAGCCCAACAUCCCAAACAACCGUAAUGACACAAAAACACUACCCUAUCACUAAACUAAAACAUUCCCUAACCCCAGUAUAGGAGAUAGAAAAGACCUUCCCCGGCGCUAUAGAACUCCGUACCGUAAGGGAAAGAUGAAAUAAAAAUGAAAAUCAAAGCAACUAAUAGUAAAGAUCAACCCUUGUACCUCUUGCAUCAUGGUUCAGCAAGAAUAAUCAAGCAAAACGAACUUAAGCUUGUCCUCCCGAAACCCAAGCGAGCUACUUACAAGCAGCUAUUUCUGAGCAAACCCGUCUCUGUUGCAAAAGAGUGGGAUGACUUGUUAGUAGAGGUGAAAAGCCAACCGAGCUGGGUGAUAGCUGGUUGCCUGCGAAACGAGUCUAAGCUCUACCUUGACCUUCUCCUACCCAGAACAACCCCAACCCCAGUGUAAUAAGUCAAGAGCAAUUUAAAGAAGGUACAGCUCCUUUAAAAAAGAACACAAUCUCCCCUAGCGGAUAACUUUCCCCCUCCACCAACUGUGGGCCCUCAAGCAGCCACCACCAAAGAGUGCGUCAAAGCUCUCUACCCUAAAAAUCCAAACACACACACGACUCCCUUAACAAUAGCCGGCUAACCUAUAAAGAUAGGAGCACCAAUGCUGAAAUGAGUAACUAGGGCAACCCCCUCCUAAGCGCAAACUUAUAUCUCCACAUCAUUAACGUACAACAACCAAUAACAUAACCCAAACCAGCCUAAAUAUUGACUACCUCCGUUAAACCCAACCCAGGAGCGCCUGAACUAGAAAGAUUAAAAUCUGUAAAAGGAACUAGGCAAACUCAAGGCCCGACUGUUUACCAAAAACAUAGCCUUCAGCUAACCAAGUAUUGAAGGUGAUGCCUGCCCAGUGACAUCCUGUUCAACGGCCGCGGUAUCCUAACCGUGCAAAGGUAGCACAAUCAAUUGUCCCAUAAAUCGAGACUUGUAUGAAUGGCUAAACGAGGUCUUAACUGUCUCUUACAGAUAAUCAGUGAAAUUGAUCUCCCUGUGCAAAAGCAGGGAUAGACACACAAGACGAGAAGACCCUGUGGAACUUAAAAAUUACAGCCACAGCAACAAACCAUCAAACCUACCAGGCCCACAACCCCUUCAAACAUCUGGCUCACAUUUUUCGGUUGGGGCGACCUUGGAGAAAAACAAAACCUCCAAAAAUAAGACCUCACCUCUUAACCAAGAACAACUAUUCAACGUGCUAAAAGUAACCAGACCCAGUACAGCUGAUCAAUGAACCAAGCUACCCCAGGGAUAACAGCGCAAUCCCCUUCAAGAGCCCCCAUCGACAAGGGGGUUUACGACCUCGAUGUUGGAUCAGGACAUCCUAGUGGUGCAACCGCUACUAAGGGUUCGUUUGUUCAACGACUAACAGUCCUACGUGAUCUGAGUUCAGACCGGAGCAAUCCAGGUCGGUUUCUAUCUGUGACACACCCUCUCCAGUACGAAAGGACCGAGAGAGUAAGGCCAAUACUCCAGGCAUGCCUUCCCCACAAGUAGUGAACCCAACUAAACUACCAAGAGGCCCCCCGACCACUUCCCCAAAUCCCCCAAAAAAAGGGAN
This 1604-nucleotide ribosomal RNA is filed under the name Rigidipenna inexpectata. RNAcentral describes it as "16S ribosomal RNA". It matches the Rfam family "Bacterial large subunit ribosomal RNA", at positions 426 to 2925 of the family's 2925-position model. Lineage: Eukaryota; Metazoa; Chordata; Aves; Caprimulgiformes; Podargidae. The record is from RNAcentral.